RNAcentral lists this ribosomal RNA (1368 nucleotides) under uncultured beta proteobacterium. RNAcentral describes it as "bacterial SSU rRNA". It matches the Rfam family "Bacterial small subunit ribosomal RNA", at positions 29 to 1395 of the family's 1533-position model. The record is from RNAcentral. Lineage: Bacteria; Pseudomonadati; Pseudomonadota; Betaproteobacteria.
UUGAACGCUGGCGGCAUGCCUUACACAUGCAAGUCGAACGGCAGCACGGGUGCUUGCACCUGGUGGCGAGUGGCGAACGGGUGAGUAAUACAUCGGAACAUGUCCUGUAGUGGGGGAUAGCCCGGCGAAAGCCGGAUUAAUACCGCAUACGAUCUACGGAUGAAAGCGGGGGACCUUCGGGCCUCGCGCUAUAGGGUUGGCCGAUGGCUGAUUAGCUAGUUGGUGGGGUAAAGGCCUACCAAGGCGACGAUCAGUAGCUGGUCUGAGAGGACGACCAGCCACACUGGGACUGAGAUACGGCCCAGACUCCUACGGGAGGCAGCAGUGGGGAAUUUUGGACAAUGGGCGAAAGCCUGAUCCAGCAAUGCCGCGUGUGUGAAGAAGGCCUUCGGGUUGUAAAGCACUUUUGUCCGGAAAGAAAUCCUUGGCUCUAAUACAGUCGGGGGAUGACGGUACCGGAAGAAUAAGCACCGGCUAACUACGUGCCAGCAGCCGCGGUAAUACGUAGGGUGCGAGCGUUAAUCGGAAUUACUGGGCGUAAAGCGUGCGCAGGCGGUUUGCUAAGACCGAUGUGAAAUCCCCGGGCUCAACCUGGGAACUGCAUUGGUGACUGGCAGGCUAGAGUAUGGCAGAGGGGGGGUAGAAUUCCACGUGUAGCAGUGAAAUGCGUAGAGAUGUGGAGGAAUACCGAUGGCGAAGGCAGCCCCCUGGGCCAAUACUGACGCUCAUGCACGAAAGCGUGGGGAGCAAACAGGAUUAGAUACCCUGGUAGUCCACGCCCUAAACGAUGUCAACUAGUUGUUGGGGAUUCAUUUCCUUAGUAACGUAGCUAACGCGUGAAGUUGACCGCCUGGGGAGUACGGUCGCAAGAUUAAAACUCAAAGGAAUUGACGGGGACCCGCACAAGCGGUGGAUGAUGUGGAUUAAUUCGAUGCAACGCGAAAAACCUUACCUACCCUUGACAUGGUCGGAAUCCCGCUGAGAGGUGGGAGUGCUCGAAAGAGAACCGGCGCACAGGUGCUGCAUGGCUGUCGUCAGCUCGUGUCGUGAGAUGUUGGGUUAAGUCCCGCAACGAGCGCAACCCUUGUCCUUAGUUGCUACGCAAGAGCACUCUAAGGAGACUGCCGGUGACAAACCGGAGGAAGGUGGGGAUGACGUCAAGUCCUCAUGGCCCUUAUGGGUAGGGCUUCACACGUCAUACAAUGGUCGGAACAGAGGGUUGCCAACCCGCGAGGGGGAGCUAAUCCCAGAAAACCGAUCGUAGUCCGGAUUGCACUCUGCAACUCGAGUGCAUGAAGCUGGAAUCGCUAGUAAUCGCGGAUCAGCAUGCCGCGGUGAAUACGUUCCCGGGUCUUGUACUCACCGCCC